AUUGAACGCUGGCGGCAGGCCUAACACAUGCAAGUCGAGCGAGCGGCGGACGGGUGAGUAAUGUCUGGGAAACUGCCUGAUGGAGGGGGCUAACUCCUGGAAACGGUAGCUAAUACCGCAUACCAUCAGAUGUGCCCAGCUGGGAUUAGCUAGUAGGUGGGGUAACGGCUCACCUAGGCGACGAUCCCUAGCUGGUCUGAGAGGAUGACCAGCCACACUGGAACGGAGACACGGUCCAGACUCCUACGGGAGGCAUCAGUGGGGAAUAUUGCACAAUGGGCGCAAGCCUGAUGCAGACAGGACGGGGGUGUGAAGAAGGCCUUCGGGUUGUAAAGCACUUUCAGCGGGGAGGCGUUACCCGCAGAAGAAGCACCGGCUAAAUCCGGGCCAGCAGCCGCGGUAAUAC
Molecule: ribosomal RNA, 406 nt
Filed under: uncultured bacterium
Lineage: Bacteria
Description: partial 16S ribosomal RNA
Rfam family: Bacterial small subunit ribosomal RNA
Source: RNAcentral